This 341-nucleotide ribosomal RNA is filed under the name uncultured Tomentella. RNAcentral describes it as "eukaryotic LSU rRNA". The stretch from base 286 to 341 matches the Rfam family "Eukaryotic large subunit ribosomal RNA", at positions 1 to 56 of the family's 3401-position model. The record is from RNAcentral. Lineage: Eukaryota; Fungi; Basidiomycota; Agaricomycetes; Thelephorales; Thelephoraceae.
GUGAUCAUCGAAUCUUUGAACGCACUUGCCCUGGUAUUCCGGGAUGCCUGUUGAGUUCAUGAACACCUCAACUCUCAUGGUUUGCCAUGAUGAGCUUGGACUUUGGAGGUCUUGCCGGCCUGCAGUCGGCUCCUCUCAAAUGGAUCAGCUUGCCAGUGUUUGGUGGCAUCAUGGGUGUGAUAACUAUCUACGCCUGUGGUUUUCCACCGGAUAACCUUCAGUGAUGGAGGUUUGCCUGGAGCUCAUAAAUGUCUCUCCUCAGUGAAGACAGCUUUUUUGAACGUUUGAUCUCAAAUCAGGUAGGACUACCCGCUGAACUUAAGCAUAUCAAUAAGCGGAGG